CCUANGGGGGGCAGCAGUCGAGAAGCUUCGGCAAUGGGCGAAAGCCUGACCGAGCGACGCCGCGUGAGCGAUGAAGGCCCUAUGGGUUGUAAAGCUCUGUCAGAUUGGGAAGAAAACUUCGAGGUUAAUACCCCCGAAGCUUGACGGUACCAUCAGAGGAAGCACCGGCUAACUCCGUGCCAGCAGCCGCGGUAAUACGGAGGGUGCAAGCGUUGUUCGGAUUCACUGGGUAUAAAGGGUGCGUAGGCGGCGCGAUAAGUCAGGGGUGAAAUAUGUCGGCUCAACCGACAAACUGCCCUGAAACUGCCGCGCUUGAGGUCGGGAGAGGAAGGUGGAAUUCCAGGUGUAGCGGUGAAAUGCGUAAAUAUCUGGAGGAACACCAAUGGCGAAGGCAGCCUUCUGGUCCGAUUCUGACGCUGAGGCACGAAAGCUAGGGGAGCAAACGGGAUUAGAUACCCUGNUANUC
This 466-nucleotide ribosomal RNA is filed under the name uncultured bacterium. Its description in RNAcentral is "bacterial SSU rRNA". It matches the Rfam family "Bacterial small subunit ribosomal RNA", at positions 338 to 795 of the family's 1533-position model. The record is from RNAcentral.